Diospyros lotus (date-plum) is the source of this 931-nucleotide long non-coding RNA. RefSeq lists it as uncharacterized. The transcript has 2 exons. The record is from RefSeq and is a predicted model, not a curated record. NCBI's taxonomy places the organism in Eukaryota, Viridiplantae, Streptophyta, Magnoliopsida, Ericales, Ebenaceae.
UGUGCAUAAUUGACCACUCGUGUUCAUAAUUGACAGGUGUUUUUUAAUUAAGAGCUAUUAUGGUCAAAAAUUUUAUAAUUAAGUAUCUGUAGAAUAUUUUAAAAUGUUUUAAGAUAUUCAAACAGUAAAAAUAAUUUUUUUUUUUUUAAAGUACAAAGACAGAGCGAUGGAGACAGAAUUGGGACAAAAUUUUACCACCUCAAAGCCCACAAAGUAGGCCCCCCACUUGCGAUUCGCAAUAUCACUUCGGCCAACCAAUGAGGCUACGCACAAGAUUAUACCACUUGAUUAGAUAUGCUAAACAAGUCGCUGAUCCCUAGAGAGGGCUCCAAGGUCCUCCAUUUCUGGGCGUGUCCAUUGUCAGGCGAGCAUGUCCGGCCAUGAUCCCAUUGUUAGAAGCCGAAGGCCUCAAGCGAACCGAGUCCUUGGGCUUCGGAGAGGGUGGGUGCAACAAAUUUUAGUACGUUGCCCUUGUCUCCUCGUCUGCAACAACAAUUUUCCAUCUGGUUCCUGUACACAAUCAGACGAAGAAGAAAAGGAUGCAAAGCUGGAGUACAUCAGAGAUAGCGCGAUAGACGGCUCUCAGUCGAUGAUCGCCGGGGGGAAUGGCUGGCGGCGACGAUAGAGGUAUUCAAAUCAUUUCAGAGGCGGCUUUCUUCUGUGAUGAGGGGCGAUCGACGGCGAAUGGUGGUCAGAGCAACGUUGCUUUUGUUGGUUGAGGGUAGUUGGAGUGGGAUAUCUACUUAGGUUUCAUUUUGUGUUGUCUAGUUAAGGGCUACUUGUUUUGGGCCAUUAGGGCCCUUGUUUUGUUCUAUAUAUGUUUCGUGGCCCAGUUGUUUGGUUUUUGAUAUCUAUUUAAUCCGUUUUUAUUAUGUAUUAUGUCAGCCAUUAAUAUGGCCUUGUUUUUCCAAUUUGAGAUAAAUCUUCGUGC